This 313-nucleotide RNase P RNA is filed under the name Bifidobacterium longum DJO10A. RNAcentral describes it as "RNA_RNaseP_classA". It matches the Rfam family "Bacterial RNase P class A", at positions 44 to 347 of the family's 367-position model. From Rfam's summary of the family: Ribonuclease P (RNase P) is a ubiquitous endoribonuclease, found in archaea, bacteria and eukarya as well as chloroplasts and mitochondria. Lineage: Bacteria; Bacillati; Actinomycetota; Actinomycetes; Bifidobacteriales; Bifidobacteriaceae. The record is from RNAcentral.
AGGAACUUCCGGGCUCCAUAGAGCACGAUGGCGGAUAACGUCCGCCCAGGGUGACCUGAGAGAUAGCGCAACAGAGAACAGACCGCCCGUCCUCGACGGGUAAGGGUGAAACGGCGGUGUAAGAGACCACCGGGCCUCUGGUAACAGUAGGUCGCAUGGCAAGCCUCAUCGGGAGCAAGGCCAAGCAGAUGGCGGUAAGGGCUGCUCGCCCGUGUCAUCGGGUAGGCUGCUAGAGCCUGGCGGUAACGUCAGGUCGAGAUGGAUGGCCAUCCGUGCCGUGCGUUCGCGCACGGCACGACAGAACCCGGGGUAU